GGAUCCCUAGUGUAAUGGUUAACACAUCUGCUUCGUAAGCAGAAGGUCCUGGGUUCACGCCCUAGGUGGAUCCA
RNAcentral lists this transfer RNA (74 nucleotides) under Pteropus alecto (black flying fox). It matches the Rfam family "tRNA". From Rfam's summary of the family: Transfer RNA (tRNA) molecules are approximately 80 nucleotides in length. Their secondary structure includes four short double-helical elements and three loops (D, anti-codon, and T loops). Lineage: Eukaryota; Metazoa; Chordata; Mammalia; Chiroptera; Pteropodidae. The record is from Rfam by way of RNAcentral.